RNAcentral lists this small RNA (124 nucleotides) under Marmota monax (woodchuck). Lineage: Eukaryota; Metazoa; Chordata; Mammalia; Rodentia; Sciuridae. The record is from RNAcentral.
GCCAGGCGUGGUGGUGCACACCUGUAAUCCCAGCUGCUGGGGAGGCUGAGGCAGGAGGAUCUCGAGUUCAAGCCAGCUUCAGUAACAGCAAGGCGCCAAGCAAUUCAGUGAGACCCUGUCUCUA